GUCAGGAUAGGUCAGUUGGUAGAGCAGAGGACUGAAAAUC
This 40-nucleotide transfer RNA is filed under the name Elymus brevipes. RNAcentral describes it as "partial tRNA-Phe". Lineage: Eukaryota; Viridiplantae; Streptophyta; Magnoliopsida; Poales; Poaceae. The record is from RNAcentral.